Molecule: ribosomal RNA, 700 nt
Filed under: uncultured beta proteobacterium
Lineage: Bacteria; Pseudomonadati; Pseudomonadota; Betaproteobacteria
Description: bacterial SSU rRNA
Rfam family: Bacterial small subunit ribosomal RNA
Source: RNAcentral
AGUGGCGAACGGGUGAGUAAUAUAUCGGAACGUGCCCAGUCGUGGGGGAUAACGUAGCGAAAGUUACGCUAAUACCGCAUACGAUCUACGGAUGAAAGCGGGGGACCGUAAGACCUCGCGCGAUUGGAGCGGCCGAUAUCAGAUUAGGUAGUUGGUGGGGUAAAGGCUCACCAAGCCAACGAUCUGUAGCUGGUCUGAGAGGACGACCAGCCACACUGGAACUGAGACACGGUCCAGACUCCUACGGGAGGCAGCAGUGGGGAAUUUUGGACAAUGGACGCAAGUCUGAUCCAGCCAUUCCGCGUGCAGGAUGAAGGCCCUCAGGUUGUAAACUGCUUCUGUACGGAACGAAAAGGUUUCCAUUAAUACUGGGAGCUCAUGACGGUACCGUAAGAAUAAGCACCGGCUAACUACGUGCCAGCAGCCGCGGUAAUACGUAGGGUGCAAGCGUUAAUCGGAAUUACUGGGCGUAAAGCGUGCGCAGGCGGUUAUGUAAGACAGAGGUGAAAUCCCCGGGCUCAACCUGGGAACGGCCUUUGUGACUGCAUAGCUAGAGUACGGUAGAGGGGGAUGGAAUUCCGCGUGUAGCAGUGAAAUGCGUAGAUAUGCGGAGGAACACCGAUGGCGAAGGCAAUCCCCUGGACCUGUACUGACGCUCAUGCACGAAAGCGUGGGGAGCAAACAGGAUUAGAUACCCUGG